RNAcentral lists this transfer RNA (58 nucleotides) under Lentibacillus salicampi. Its description in RNAcentral is "tRNA-Pro". It matches the Rfam family "tRNA", at positions 8 to 62 of the family's 71-position model. Rfam says of the family: Transfer RNA (tRNA) molecules are approximately 80 nucleotides in length. Their secondary structure includes four short double-helical elements and three loops (D, anti-codon, and T loops). The record is from RNAcentral. Lineage: Bacteria; Bacillati; Bacillota; Bacilli; Caryophanales; Bacillaceae.
UAGCUCAGCUUGGUAGAGCACCUGGUUUGGGACCAGGGGGUCGCAGGUUCAAAUCCUG